GAUGAAGAACGUAGCGAAAUGCGAUAAGUAAUGUGAAUUGCAGAAUUCAGUGAAUCAUCGAAUCUUUGAACGCACAUUGCGCCCGCCAGUAUUCUGGCGGGCAUGCCUGUUCGAGCGUCAUUUCAACCAUCAAGCCCCCGGGCUUGUGUUGGGGACCUGCGGCUGCCCGCAGGCCCUGAAAACCAGUGGCGGGCUCGCUGUCACACCGAGCGUAGUAGCAUCAUCUCGCUCAGGGCGUGCUGCGGGUUCCGGCCGUUAAAAAGCCUCUAAUACCCAAGGUUGACCUCGGAUCAGGUAGGAAGACCCGCUGAACUUAAGCAUAUCAUAAGCGGAGGA
This 336-nucleotide unclassified non-coding RNA is filed under the name soil metagenome. RNAcentral's name for it is "partial contains 5.8S ribosomal RNA, internal transcribed spacer 2, and large subunit ribosomal RNA". The stretch from base 1 to 120 matches the Rfam family "5.8S ribosomal RNA", at positions 35 to 154 of the family's 154-position model. The record is from RNAcentral.